Molecule: ribosomal RNA, 440 nt
Filed under: uncultured bacterium
Lineage: Bacteria
Description: bacterial SSU rRNA
Rfam family: Bacterial small subunit ribosomal RNA
Source: RNAcentral
AACGCGAAGAACCUUACCUGGGCUCGAAAUGUAGGGGACUAUAACAGAGAUGUUAUAUCCCGAAAGGGUCCCUAUAUAGGUGCUGCAUGGCUGUCGUCAGCUCGUGCCGUGAGGUGUUUGGUUAAGUCCAGCAACGAGCGCAACCCUUAUCGUUAGUUGCCAGCGCGUAAUGGCGGGAACUCUAACGAGACUGCCUGGGUUAACCAGGAGGAAGGUGAGGAUGACGUCAAGUCCGCAUGGCCUUUAUGUCCAGGGCUACACACGUGCUACAAUGGUCGGUACAGAAGGCAGCGAAACCGUAAGGCGGAGCAAAUCCUGUAAAACCGAUCUCAGUUCAGAUUGUGGUCUGCAACUCGACCACAUGAAGUUGGAAUUGCUAGUAAUGGCGUGUCAGCAACAACGCCGUGAAUACGUUCCCGGGCCUUGUACACACCGCUGUA